GAUAACCAAAGAUGAUCCGGGGGUCGAGAGUGGGGUGGGUAACAAGGCGCACAUCACCGCCGCCAGGUGCCCAAGUGUCGUAUAAACCGCCCCAAAGCGUGGCUUUGCCGACAAGUAAGAACGCCGCCACACCCAAGGCGAUUAGGUGAUACCCCAAGAUGCUAGAAAUUUUGUCCUUAUCCGUCCA
Molecule: antisense RNA, 187 nt
Filed under: Calothrix sp. PCC 7507
Lineage: Bacteria; Bacillati; Cyanobacteriota; Cyanophyceae; Nostocales; Calotrichaceae
Description: Antisense RNA which regulates isiA expression
Rfam family: Antisense RNA which regulates isiA expression
Source: Rfam by way of RNAcentral